AGAGUUUGAUCCUGGCUCAGGACGAACGCUGGCGGCGUGCUUAACACAUGCAAGUCGAACGGUGAAGUCCCUUCGGGGGCGGAUCAGUGGCGAACGGGUGAGUAACACGUGGGCAAUCUGCCCCUCACUGUGGGAUAACUCCGGGAAACCGGGGCUAAUACCGCAUAUGAAGCCUGGCGGCAUCGCCGGGUUUGGAAAGUUUUUCGGUGAGGGAUGAGCCCGCGGCCUAUCAGCUUGUUGGUGAGGUAAUGGCUCACCAAGGCGACGACGGGUAGCCGGCCUGAGAGGGCGACCGGCCACACUGGGACUGAGACACGGCCCAGACUCCUACGGGAGGCAGCAGUGGGGAA
RNAcentral lists this ribosomal RNA (350 nucleotides) under uncultured bacterium. Its description in RNAcentral is "bacterial SSU rRNA". It matches the Rfam family "Bacterial small subunit ribosomal RNA", at positions 8 to 361 of the family's 1533-position model. The record is from RNAcentral.